UAGGGAAUCUUCGGCAAUGGACGAAAGUCUGACCGAGCAACGCCGCGUGAGUGAAGAAGGUUUUCGGAUCGUAAAACUCUGUUGUUAGAGAAGAACAAGGACGUUAGUAACUGAACGUCCCCUGACGGUAUCUAACCAGAAAGCCACGGCUAACUACGUGCCAGCAGCCGCGGUAAUACGUAGGUGGCAAGCGUUGUCCGGAUUUAUUGGGCGUAAAGCGAGCGCAGGCGGUUUCUUAAGUCUGAUGUGAAAGCCCCCGGCUCAACCGGGGAGGGUCAUUGGAAACUGGGAGACUUGAGUGCAGAAGAGGAGAGUGGAAUUCGAUGUGUAGCGGUGAAAUGCGUAGAUAUAUGGAGGAACACCAGUGGCGAAGGCGGCUCUCUGGUCUGUAGCUGACGCUGAGGCUCGAAAGCGUGGGGAGCAAACAGG
RNAcentral lists this ribosomal RNA (429 nucleotides) under Gemmatimonadota bacterium. Its description in RNAcentral is "Gemmatimonadetes bacterium partial 16S ribosomal RNA". It matches the Rfam family "Bacterial small subunit ribosomal RNA", at positions 355 to 776 of the family's 1533-position model. The record is from RNAcentral. Lineage: Bacteria; Pseudomonadati; Gemmatimonadota.